This 1496-nucleotide ribosomal RNA is filed under the name Salmonella enterica subsp. enterica serovar Javiana. Its description in RNAcentral is "partial 23S ribosomal RNA". It matches the Rfam family "Bacterial large subunit ribosomal RNA", at positions 665 to 2141 of the family's 2925-position model. The record is from RNAcentral. Lineage: Bacteria; Pseudomonadati; Pseudomonadota; Gammaproteobacteria; Enterobacterales; Enterobacteriaceae.
GCCGGAGGGAAACCGAGUCUUAACCGGGCGUUAAGUUGCAGGGUAUAGACCCGAAACCCGGUGAUCUAGCCAUGGGCAGGUUGAAGGUUGGGUAACACUAACUGGAGGACCGAACCGACUAAUGUUGAAAAAUUAGCGGAUGACCUGUGGCUGGGGGUGAAAGGCCAAUCAAACCGGGAGAUAGCUGGUUCUCCCCGAAAGCUAUUUAGGUAGCGCCUCGUGAAUUCAUCUCCGGGGGUAGAGCACUGUUUCGGCUAGGGGGCCAUCCCGGCUUACCAACCCGAUGCAAACUGCGAAUACCGGAGAAUGUUAUCACGGGAGACACACGGCGGGUGCUAACGUCCGUCGUGAAGAGGGAAACAACCCAGACCGCCAGCUAAGGUCCCAAAGUCAUGGUUAAGUGGGAAACGAUGUGGGAAGGCCCAGACAGCCAGGAUGUUGGCUUAGAAGCAGCCAUCAUUUAAAGAAAGCGUAAUAGCUCACUGGUCGAGUCGGCCUGCGCGGAAGAUGUAACGGGGCUAAACCAUGCACCGAAGCUGCGGCAGCGACACUCAGGUGUUGUUGGGUAGGGGAGCGUUCUGUAAGCCUGUGAAGGUGGCCUGUGAGGGUUGCUGGAGGUAUCAGAAGUGCGAAUGCUGACAUAAGUAACGAUAAAGCGGGUGAAAAGCCCGCUCGCCGGAAGACCAAGGGUUCCUGUCCAACGUUAAUCGGGGCAGGGUGAGUCGACCCCUAAGGCGAGGCCGAAAGGCGUAGUCGAUGGGAAACGGGUUAAUAUUCCCGUACUUGGUGUUACUGCGAAGGGGGGACGGAGAAGGCUAUGUUGGCCGGGCGACGGUUGUCCCGGUUUAAGCGUGUAGGUGUGUGUUCCAGGUAAAUCCGGUUCACUUUAACACUGAGGCGUGAUGACGAGGCACUACGGUGCUGAAGCAACAAAUGCCCUGCUUCCAGGAAAAGCCUCUAAGCAUCAGGUAACAUCAAAUCGUACCCCAAACCGACACAGGUGGUCAGGUAGAGAAUACCAAGGCGCUUGAGAGAACUCGGGUGAAGGAACUAGGCAAAAUGGUGCCGUAACUUCGGGAGAAGGCACGCUGACAUGUAGGUGAAGUGAUUUACUCACGGAGCUGAAGUCAGUCGAAGAUACCAGCUGGCUGCAACUGUUUAUUAAAAACACAGCACUGUGCAAACACGAAAGUGGACGUAUACGGUGUGACGCCUGCCCGGUGCCGGAAGGUUAAUUGAUGGGGUCAGCGCAAGCGAAGCUCCUGAUCGAAGCCCCGGUAAACGGCGGCCGUAACUAUAACGGUCCUAAGGUAGCGAAAUUCCUUGUCGGGUAAGUUCCGACCUGCACGAAUGGCGUAAUGAUGGCCAGGCUGUCUCCACCCGAGACUCAGUGAAAUUGAACUCGCUGUGAAGAUGCAGUGUACCCGCGGCAAGACGGAAAGACCCCGUGAACCUUUACUAUAGCUUGACACUGAACAUUGAGCCUUGAUGUGUAG